RNAcentral lists this long non-coding RNA (301 nucleotides) under Pan troglodytes (chimpanzee). RNAcentral's name for it is "long non-coding RNA NONPTRT001500". Lineage: Eukaryota; Metazoa; Chordata; Mammalia; Primates; Hominidae. The record is from RNAcentral.
GUGGACUACUGGGCCCAGCUGAAUGGUUCUCACCUGAGGUCUGUCAUGUAGUAGAGGAAGCUGCAGUCAGCAGAAGGCGUGACUGAUUGCAUGCCAAAAAUGGCUCACUCACAUGGGUGGAAUUUGAUGCCAGUUCCUGGUUGAGAGCUCAGCUAUGGCUAUUGACUGGAUAUCUACACAGGGCUGUCCUUGUGGCAUGGGAGUCUCACAAUGACAACUGAGUUCUCAGAAGGAGAGUGCCUACAGCACGCACUCCAAAAGAGCUUUCCUUCCUUCUGGGUGUGGGGCAGGACUGUCUCUG